This 801-nucleotide ribosomal RNA is filed under the name uncultured bacterium. Its description in RNAcentral is "bacterial SSU rRNA". It matches the Rfam family "Bacterial small subunit ribosomal RNA", at positions 8 to 795 of the family's 1533-position model. The record is from RNAcentral.
AGAGUUUGAUCCUGGCUCAGAACGAACGCUGGCGGCGUGCUUAAUACAUGCAAGUCGAACGAGAAAGUCUGACUUCGGUUGGGCGAGUAAAGUGGCGAACGGGUGAGGAACACGUGGAUAAUCUGCCCUUAAAUCUGGGAUAAUCCUUCGAAAGGAGGCCUAAUACCGGAUGACACCGCGCGAUGGCAUCAUUGUGCGUUCAAAGGCGGGGCAACCUGCCGUUUAGGGAUGAGUCCGCGUUCCAUUAGCUAGUUGGUGGGGUAAAAGCUCACCAAGGCUACGAUGGAUAGCCGGCCUGAGAGGGUGACCGGCCACACUGGGACUGAGAUACGGCCCAGACUCCUACGGGAGGCAGCAGUAGGGAAUAUUGCGCAAUGGACGAAAGUCUGACGCAGCAACGCCGCGUGGGUGAUGAAGCAUUUCGGUGUGUAAAACCCUGUCAGUGGGAAAGAAACGUACGGGUAGUAACUGACUCGUGCCUGACGGUACCCACAGAGGAAGUCCCGGCUAACUCCGUGCCAGCAGCCGCGGUAAUACGGGGGGGACAAGCGUUGUUCGGAUUUACUGGGCGUAAAGGGCGCGUAGGCGGACCGUCAAGUCGGAUGUGAAAACUGGCAGCUUAACUGCCAGCCUGCAUUUGAUACUGUCGGCCUUGAGUACAGGAGAGGAGAGUGGAAUUCCAGGUGUAGCGGUGAAAUGCGUAGAUUCUGGAAGAACACCAGUAGCGACGGCUCUCUGGACUGAUACUGACGCUCAAGCGCGAAGGCUUGGGGAGCAAACAGGAUAGAUACCCUGGUAGUC